Molecule: ribosomal RNA, 406 nt
Filed under: uncultured bacterium
Lineage: Bacteria
Description: partial 16S ribosomal RNA
Rfam family: Bacterial small subunit ribosomal RNA
Source: RNAcentral
AUUGAACGCUGGCGGCAGGCUUAACACAUGCAAGUCGAACGAGUGGCGGACGGGUGAGUAAUGCUUGGGAAUCUGGCUGAUGGAGGGGGAUAACUACGGGAAACUGUGGCUAAUACCGCAUACCAUAGGAUGAGCCCAUGUGGGAUUAGGUAGUUGGUGGGGUAAAGGCUCACCAAGCCGACGAUCUCUAGCUGGUCUGAGAGGAUGACCAGCCACACUGGGACUGAGACACGGCCCAGACUCCUACGGGAGGCAGCAGUGGGGAAUAUUGCGCAAUGGGCGCAACCCUGAUGCAGCCAUGCCGCGUGGAUGAAGAAGGCCUUAGGGUUGUAAAGUUCUUUCAGCGGCGAGGCGUUACCCGCAGAAGAAGCACCGGCUAACUCCGUGCCAGCAGCCGCGGUAAUUC